ACGGGAGGCAGCAGUGGGGAAUAUUGGACAAUGGGCGCAAGCCUGAUCCAGCCAUGCCGCGUGAGUGAUGAAGGCCCUAGGGUUGUAAAGCUCUUUCGGCGGGGACGAUAAUGACGGUACCCGCAGAAGAAGCCCCGGCUAACUUCGUGCCAGCAGCCGCGGUAAUACGAAGGGGGCUAGCGUUGCUCGGAAUCACUGGGCGUAAAGGGCGCGUAGGCGGCCGUUCAAGUCGGGGGUGAAAGCCUGUGGCUCAACCACAGAAUUGCCUUCGAUACUGGAUGGCUCGAGACCGGAAGAGGUGAGUGGAACUGCGAGUGUAGAGGUGAAAUUCGUAGAUAUUCGCAAGAACACCAGUGGCGAAGGCGGCUCACUGGUCCGGUUCUGACGCUGAGGCGCGAAAGCGUGGGGAGCAAACAGGAUUAGAUACCCUGGUA
This 434-nucleotide ribosomal RNA is filed under the name uncultured Hyphomicrobiales bacterium. RNAcentral's name for it is "bacterial SSU rRNA". It matches the Rfam family "Bacterial small subunit ribosomal RNA", at positions 341 to 792 of the family's 1533-position model. The record is from RNAcentral. Lineage: Bacteria; Pseudomonadati; Pseudomonadota; Alphaproteobacteria; Hyphomicrobiales.